GACGAACGCUGGCGGCGUGCCUAAUACAUGCAAGUAGAACGCACAGUUUAUACCGUAGCUUGCUACACCAUAAACUGUGAGUUGCGAACGGGUGAGUAACGCGUAGGUAACCUGCCUGGUAGCGGGGGAUAACUAUUGGAAACGAUAGCUAAUACCGCAUAAUAUUAAUUAUUGCAUGAUAAUUGAUUGAAAGAUGCAAUUGCAUCACUACCAGAUGGACCUGCGUUGUAUUAGCUAGUAGGUGAGGUAACGGCUCACCUAGGCGACGAUACAUAGCCGACCUGAGAGGGUGAUCGGCCACACUGGGACUGAGACACGGCCCAGACUCCUACGGGAGGCAGCAGUAGGGAAUCUUCGGCAAUGGACGAAAGUCUGACCGAGCAACGCCGCGUGAGUGAAGAAGGGUUUCGGAUCGUAAAGCUCUGUUGUAAGAGAAGAACGGGUGUGAGAGUGGAAAGUUCACACUGUGACGGUAUCUUACCAGAAAGGGACGGCUAACUACGUG
RNAcentral lists this ribosomal RNA (505 nucleotides) under uncultured bacterium. RNAcentral describes it as "partial 16S ribosomal RNA". It matches the Rfam family "Bacterial small subunit ribosomal RNA", at positions 28 to 507 of the family's 1533-position model. The record is from RNAcentral.